This 301-nucleotide ribosomal RNA is filed under the name uncultured bacterium. Its description in RNAcentral is "partial 16S ribosomal RNA". It matches the Rfam family "Bacterial small subunit ribosomal RNA", at positions 509 to 807 of the family's 1533-position model. The record is from RNAcentral.
CAGUCGCCGCGGUAAUACAGUGGGUGCGAGCGUUAAUCGGAUUUACUGGGCGUAAAGCGUGCGUAGGCGGCUUCUUAAGUCGGAUGUGAAAUCCCUGAGCUUAACUUAGGAAUUGCAUUCGAUACUGGGAAGCUAGAGUAUGGGAGAGGAUGGUAGAAUUCCAGGUGUAGCGGUGAAAUGCGUAGAGAUCUGGAGGAAUACCGAUGGCGAAGGCAGCCAUCUGGCCUAAUACUGACGCUGAGGUACGAAAGCAUGGGGAGCAAACAGGAUUAGAUACCCCGGUAGUCCCUGUCUCUUAUAC